GGCGCGAUAUGUAUGGCUUGUCUGCCAUGGCGCGCGCGGCGGUGGUCCGCGAGAAGUGGCGCUCGGUAUUCUGGGGGUGUUCUGCUGCCGGUGGCUGUUAAGGGCACAGCGCCUAGAGAAGGCGACGGUGACAGUGACGCCGGGCUGUGCUGCGAUGGCGGGCUUUACCUUACGGCGGCCCUCGCCUCGGAGAGAAAGAGAAGGUGUAUAUUGGGAAACUGAACAUGAUUCUUGUUCAGAUUCUGAAACAGGAAUGGCCAAAGCACUGGCCAACUUUUAUAAGUGAUAUUGUAGGAGCAAGCAGGACUAGUGAAAGCCUUUGUCAGAACAACAUGGUGAUCCUUAAACUACUGAGUGAAGAAGUGUUUGAUUUUUCCAGUGGCCAGAUAACUCAAGUGAAAGCAAAACAUUUGAAAGACAGCUGAAUAUGCCAAUGGGAGAGUUUAGGGCUGUUUGGGCCCGUACUGUGUAUUCAGUGCAGAUUGUACAUGAAUCUGGCUGACCAUCUCUAUCCCUGCCUCCCAGAUAGCACACAGCCCUUUGACUGUCUCCUGCAGUUCAGUCAACUGUUGCAGGUCUUCCACCUGGGCACAUCUUACACAGGUUCUUAAGGUCUUCGGCUGUACAUGCCUUUCUGGAUUAAAAGGGGACAUUCCCAAAUUGACAACCAUCUGAGAAGCUGCAGGAACUCCACUGUUGACAACAGGAGCUCAGCUGGAUGGAACCAGAUCAGUGGUCACUGAUUCAGCAUUCUGUGCCAAAGGUGAAAAGUACACCACAGGAGCCUUCAUGGGGAAGACUCAAAAAGACCCCGGCCCACAACCGCCACAGGGCAGGACGCAUGUGUGAAAAGUUCCACUAAUCUUGUAUGGAGAGCACAAGUUGAAUUUCCGAAUAUUUUUAUUAAAAUGCAAAAGAGAGAAAAUCUAGAGCAGUGGAGAAGAAUUUCAUUAUUACAGUGCCUAAGCUUAGGAAAUGGAAUCUGAUAGUCUGUGUAACAUGAUGAAAGACCCUCUGCAGAGCCUGAUAACCUAUGAUUGCCUCUAUCAUGAAUGAUUCGUGCAGAAGUAUGCUUGCAAGUAUGCCUGCAUAUGAACUGAUUUCAUUCAAAAUACAUAGUUAUUUUUGGCAUUUAAAACUUUCUGAUUCUUUUAUACGUUGGAUAAAAAGUGUUUUUCACUUGGCUCUGAAAUGAUGUGCAUUUCAAAGAUGCUGUCGUGUGAUUGGCUCUAAGAUAUUUAGUUUUGCCUUGGGCAUGUGUUUGGAGUUCUUGAUUUUUUUUUUUUUUUUGUCAAAUUCAUAAUUUUUUUAGAGGUUUGGUUAUUUUCUGCUUCUUUUAAACCUAUUCCUAAUUGUUGAAUAAAUCACUACUUUUUUUUCCCCCAGUUGUCAGUUUAACCUGAUCUGUAUUGUUUCUACUCUACACUUCUAAAGGUUUUGUUGUUAUUUUCUAUACAAGGUAUUUUGCUGACUGCUGUAGUUGUUUCCUAGCAUUUGUCAUUAUAGGAAGUCUGUUAGUCACACUGUAAUUACGGAGUUAGCCAGUGAAGUUAAAAGUUUCACCAGUAGAUAUAUCUUUCGAAAAGCUAUCUCAAUAGGCCCUCGUCAUGCUAGGUUCAUUUUUUGCAGUGGUAAGUACUUUAUAUUUAACAAUAUUGCUAGUUGUUACAAAUAUACAAUGAGCUGAAAAUGUAGUGUGUGUUUGUUGACUAUUUUUAUUUUGUGACGUGGUGGAUCUCUUGUAUUACUUCUAAAUGUUUUCUAGACAUAGCUGAUAAUUCAUGAAAUUGCCAUGCAAUUUAAAGAUUGUCUUAGUGUUGCUAUACAUCCCCAUUUAUCCUAAAAACGAUAAAUCCUAUGUUGAAGGUAGUAGGUGAUUCUGUGACAUUAUAAUAUUGUGAUGAAUAUAGUGAAAUAAAUAGUUUGUGUCAUCUACUGGUCUGAACAGGAUCUGCAUUUCAAUUCAGAAUGAGUUGUGUGUCCUAGUGAAGUGUUCAGUAUGUAAAAGAAGAAAAUCACCAUAAAUAAUGUAAUUUUUAAUGUCUUUUCUGUAUUAAGUGCCAACAAAUGUUAAAAAUGUGCUAAUUAAAGGAAGAAACUAAUAUGUUAUCCCUUUUCCUAUCUCUGCCUUCUUAACCAUACCUAGAAGUUUAAUCUAAAUUUGAUAGAGCGUGGAAAGGUACCUUCCAAUAGGUUGGUCAUGUUUUAGCAGGAUUUAUGUCUAUAUUGGUGGUAUAGAGUACUGUGAAUAUGAACAGUUUGUCUAGACAUGUUUGAUGGAGUCAUACUUUCUAUAAUAAUUUGUAAUUACGGUAUAUCCCAUCAUCACAUUUACUUAUAAAAGAGUAUUUAAAAUAAACCAACACCUUCUCCUUCAUGGAUUUUCUCUGUAAAUUUUGGUGUUAAGGCUGGAGUAAUAAAGCUACUGGUACGGGGUGGACUUCAUCGUAGCAUACUUCAUAUACUUUAGUUUAGCUGAACGAACUUCAUAUCCUACAGCCUGAUAGAUGAUUGUAUUUUCUGAGAUUCCAUGCUCAAUUCUUAAUUCAGUUUGUCUUAGCACUUGCAUAUUUGAUACAUUCUGUGUACAUUCAGAUUAUAAAUAUUAUUCUGCAAUGAG
Molecule: RNA transcript, 2620 nt
Organism: Gallus gallus (chicken)
Lineage: Eukaryota; Metazoa; Chordata; Aves; Galliformes; Phasianidae
Gene: XPO1P
Gene name: exportin 1, transcribed pseudogene
Exons: 9
Source: RefSeq, marked validated